This 314-nucleotide ribosomal RNA is filed under the name uncultured bacterium. Its description in RNAcentral is "partial 16S ribosomal RNA". It matches the Rfam family "Bacterial small subunit ribosomal RNA", at positions 499 to 807 of the family's 1533-position model. The record is from RNAcentral.
UUAUAAGAGACAGCAGCCGCCGCGGGAAAACGGAGGGUGCAAGCGUUAAUCAGAAUUACUGGGCGUAAAGCGCACGCAGGCGGUUUGUUAAGUCAGAUGUGAAAUCCCCGAGCUUAACUUGGGAACUGCAUUUGAAACUGGCAAGCUAGAGUCUUGUAGAGGGGGGUAGAAUUCCAGGUGUAGCGGUGAAAUGCGUAGAGAUCUGGAGGAAUACCGGUGGCGAAGGCGGCCCCCUGGACAAAGACUGACGCUCAGGUGCGAAAGCGUGGGGAGCAAACAGGAUUAGAUACCCCAGUAGUCCCUGUCUCUUAUAC